GGGGUUGUAGCUCAGUAAUAGAGCGCUUGCCUAGCAUGCAUGACGCACCGGGUUCAAUUCUCAGCACCA
Molecule: transfer RNA, 69 nt
Filed under: Urocitellus parryii (Arctic ground squirrel)
Lineage: Eukaryota; Metazoa; Chordata; Mammalia; Rodentia; Sciuridae
Also listed under: 1 other name
Description: Spermophilus parryii (Arctic ground squirrel) tRNA
Rfam family: tRNA
About the family: Transfer RNA (tRNA) molecules are approximately 80 nucleotides in length. Their secondary structure includes four short double-helical elements and three loops (D, anti-codon, and T loops).
Source: Rfam by way of RNAcentral